This 933-nucleotide ribosomal RNA is filed under the name Ebrechtella tricuspidata. Its description in RNAcentral is "SSU rRNA". It matches the Rfam family "Eukaryotic small subunit ribosomal RNA", at positions 24 to 965 of the family's 1831-position model. The record is from RNAcentral. Lineage: Eukaryota; Metazoa; Arthropoda; Arachnida; Araneae; Thomisidae.
UUUAACGCUGCGACAGAGCCUGCAUGUCUAGUACGUGCCGUAUUAAGGCGAAACCGCGAAUGGCUCAUUAAAUCAGUUAUGGUUCCUUGGAUCGUACCUCACUACUUGGAUAACUGUGGCAAUUCUAGAGCUAAUACAUGCAGCAGAGCUCCGACCUUCGGGGACGAGCGCUUUUAUUAGACCAAAACCAAUCGGACCUCGUGUCCGUUCUUUGUGGUGACUCUGUAUAACUUUGGGCUGAUCGCACGGGCCCGUCCCGGCGACGUAUCUUUCAAGUGUCUGCCUUAUCAACUUUCGAUGGUAGGUUACGCGCCUACCAUGGUCGUAACGGGUAACGGGGAAUCAGGGUUCGAUUCCGGAGAGGGAGCCUGAGAAACGGCUACCACAUCCAAGGAAGGCAGCAGGCGCGCAAAUUACCCACUCCCAGAACGGGGAGGUAGUGACGAAAAAUAACAAUACGGGACUCUUUUGAGACCCCGUAAUUGGAAUGAGUACACUCUAAAUCCUUUAACGAGGAUCCAUUGGAGGGCAAGUCUGGUGCCAGCAGCUGCGGUAAUUCCAGCUCCAAUAGCGUAUAUUAAAGUUGUUGCGGUUAAAAAGCUCGUAGUUGGAUCUCAGUUCCAGACGGGCGGUCCGCCUACCGGCGGUCACUGCCUGUUCUGAACAGCCAGCCGGUUUCCCCCGAUGAUCUUCACCGGUUGUCUCGGGUGACCGGCAAGUUUACUUUGAAAAAAUUAGAGUGCUCAAAGCAGGCGCGACGCCUGAAUAAUGGUGCAUGGAAUAAUGGAAUAGGACCUCGGUUCUAUUUUGUUGGUUUUCGGAACACGAGGUAAUGAUUAAGAGGGACAGACGGGGGCAUUCGUAUUGCGACGCUAGAGGUGAAAUUCUUGGACCGUCGCAAGACGAACUACUGCGAAGCAAUUUGGCCAGAAA